GACAGGUGCUGCAUGGCUGUCGUCAGCUCGUGUCGUGAGAUGUUGGGUUAAGUCCCGCAACGAGCGCAACCCUCGCCUUUAGUUGCCAGCAUUCAGUUGGGCACUCUAGAGGGACUGCCGGUGUCAAACCGGAGGAAGGUGGGGAUGACGUCAAGUCCUCAUGGCCUUUGUGUCUAGGGCUACACACGUACUACAAUGGCCGGUACAAAGGGCAGCCACUCAGCGAUGAGGCGCUAAUCCCAUAAAGCCGGUCUCAGUUCGGAUUGGGGUCUGCAACUCGACCCCAUGAAGUCGGAGUCGCUAGUAAUCGCAGAUCAGCAACGCUGCGGUGAAUACGUUCCCGGGCCUU
This 349-nucleotide ribosomal RNA is filed under the name uncultured Desulfovibrio sp. RNAcentral's name for it is "bacterial SSU rRNA". It matches the Rfam family "Bacterial small subunit ribosomal RNA", at positions 1033 to 1382 of the family's 1533-position model. The record is from RNAcentral. Lineage: Bacteria; Pseudomonadati; Thermodesulfobacteriota; Desulfovibrionia; Desulfovibrionales; Desulfovibrionaceae.